AUUGAACGCUGGCGGCAGGCCUAACACAUGCCAGUCGAGCGGAUGAAGGGAGCUUGCUCCUGGAUUCAGCGGCGGACGGGUGAGUAAUGCCUAGGAAUCUGCCUGGUAGUGGGGGAUAACGUCCGGAAACGGGCGCUAAUACCGCAUACGUCCUGAGGGAGAAAGUGGGGGAUCUUCGGACCUCACGCUAUCAGAUGAGCCUAGGUCGGAUUAGCUAGUUGGUGGGGUAAAGGCCUACCAAGGUGACGAUCCGUAACUGGUCUGAGAGGAUGAUCAGUCACACUGGAACUGAGACACGGUCCAGACUCCUACGGGAGGCAGCAGUGGGGAAUAUUGGACAAUGGGCGAAAGCCUGAUCCAGCCAUGCCGCGUGUGUGAAGAAGGUCUUCGGAUUGUAAAGCACUUUAAGUUGGGAGGAAGGGCAGUAAGUUAAUACCUUGCUGUUUUGACGUUACCAACAGAAUAAGCACCGGCUAACUUCGUG
RNAcentral lists this ribosomal RNA (484 nucleotides) under uncultured bacterium. RNAcentral's name for it is "partial 16S ribosomal RNA". It matches the Rfam family "Bacterial small subunit ribosomal RNA", at positions 30 to 507 of the family's 1533-position model. The record is from RNAcentral.